Long non-coding RNA from Felis catus (domestic cat), 3644 nucleotides. RefSeq lists it as uncharacterized. NCBI's taxonomy places the organism in Eukaryota, Metazoa, Chordata, Mammalia, Carnivora, Felidae. The transcript is spliced from 4 exons. The record is from RefSeq and is a predicted model, not a curated record.
CACAGAGCCCAACGCGGGGCUCGAUUCCACGAAUUGUGAGAUUAUGACCUGAGCUGAAACCAAGAGUUGGCCAGUUAACCGACUGAGCCACUCAGGUGCCCCCAGGAAGAUCUUUCUAAUUGGCUGGCAAUUGAACAGAGCAGAGAGAAGGUGAGAGCCAAGAGGAUACCUGGGGGGAGAGACUCUGAGGGAGCAGUGAGCACCCAGGGCCCAGGUGGGAGUGCAUGAAGGAGGAAGCAGUGUGUCUGCUGGGCAGGGAGUGCAGGAGAGUGGGGGCCAGUGGGUUUGGGUCUGAAGGGCUGUGUGGGUCAUUUAAGUCAUUGGCUUUUACUGAGCCAUUGUGGGGUGUUGAGAAAGGGCAGGAUCUGACUUAGGUUUUACAGGAGCAGCUAGGUUAGUCUGGUAAGAAUGGAGUAGGUGGGAAAAGCUGGGUGUAGCCAGUGGCUCAUGAUGUCCAGGGAAGACAGCUGAGAGUGGCUUGAACCAGGGUGGUCAUGGUAGGUUUUGAGAAGUGGAGGGAUUAUGGAUGCAUUUUCAAGUAGAGCUGACAAGACCUGCUGACAGAUUGCAUGUGGGGUGUGGGAGAAGGGAAGGAGGCAAGGAUGACUCUAAGACCCAGCACGAGCAACUGGAAGAAUGGAGUUACCACUGAGGCUCUAGAAAGGAUACAGCCAAAGUGACGGUGACCAAAGGGCUGAGACACCAGUGGCUCAUGGAAGCAAAGAUAAAAAUUGGAGUGUAUUUAUGGAUGAAUAUGUCUACUUGUUGUAAUGAGGAAGAGGUUGCAAAUUGGUAGGCCCUGGGCUGAAUCUGGCUGGUGGACAUGUGUGGUUUGGUUCUCACAGUUACUUAAUAAGUAACUCAACUCAAUUAGUUGAUAUUUAGAACCAAUGGGAUUUUAUAUAAAAAUAUGGAUUUUCUGCUACUUUUAGGAAAGUGGAAGUUCUGGCAAUCCAGGUGAGGGCUGGUUGGCCCUGGAUGACAGCUAGCCCCUUUGGCAGGGUGCCCCCCCAUUCCCUAUUAUUUUAUAGCUGCUUGCUACCCUCUCUCAAUCCCAGUCUCCUCAUUUGAAAAUAGGAAUAACAGUAGUACUUACCUCCUGGGGUUAUUAGGAAAAUUAACAGACAUAACUCAUGUAAAGCAACUAGAAUACAUGGUUAUCAACUAAGUAUUCAAAAACGCUUGCUUUAUUGUUGUUGGUGUUAUUAUCUGUCUGGUCUUGCAGGGCUGUGAGUUUGCAGCUCUUGCCAGGAGGAUUUCAGAAGCUGGAGGAUGAUUCUAACAGGGGUUGAGAGGCAUGGACCCAUUUCCCUGGGAAAGAGCUGUGCUCUGUUAGAAUGAGACUAAUCUGUGGGACUACCCCAGCUGGCCACUGAUCUGACUGGGACAUCCCUGUCCACCUCCACGCCUCCUGUAGGUCAGAACCUGACGGAGCAUGACGUGGAACACAAGAGGCAUGGGGAGGCGUCUUGAUAUAGACAGGGUACCCACUGGUCAACCAAGGUCUGGAAGCAGAUUGUCAGAAGGUCACUAGUAGCCUAACACUACGUCACAACACCUGCGUCAUUCACCUUAUUUCAUCUCUUCAUGGAAGUAUUUUAUCAUCUCAUGUCAUCACAAGAGGAGGAAGAACGGUGAGUACAGUGUUCCUUUCGCAGCACAAAAAUGGACUUUCAUGCAAUUCAUUUCAGUCAGAAGUUCCAGGGAUGGAUUUGGAAGACAAAAAUCAUAAGAUAUUUUGAGAGAGGUCACAUUCAUGUAACUUUUAUUGCAGUCUAUUAUUAUAAUUCUAUUUUGUUAUUAGUUGUUGUGACUCUUACUAUGUGACUCUUACUAUGCCUAAUUUAUAAAUUAAAUUUUAUCAUAGGUAUGUAUGUACAAGAAAAAAAACAUAGUAUCUAUAGGGAUUGGUACUAUAUGUGCUUCUAGUCAUUCCCUGGGGGGCCUUGGAACAUGUCCCCCAUGGAUAAGAGGGGGGACCACUAUAGGUGCCAUUGGACGCUUAGCUCCCACUCCACUUGGAGAUGUCAAGGCCUUGUUUUCUGUCCCAGGGUCUGUGUGUAACUGGGAUGGGAGACCCUUUUACUUGAGAGCUAUUAUCUUUGCUGCAUGAUUAGACUCUCCUGACCUUAGUUCUCACUUGUAAAAUGAGGUAAUAAUAGUAUCCAUCUCAAGGAAUUGUGUGAUUAACUGAGUUAAUACCUUUAAAAAAGAAAGAGCACUUAGAGCACAGAGUGAACAAGCCAUGCAUGUUAACUAUUAUGAUGACGGUAGUAGUAAUGACCAUCCCUAUUGGACAUCACAGAUGGAGGCAGCCUAGGUGGUUACAUGAUGUCGCUGUCUCCUGGCAAGGAUCCAAUGAAUCCCCGCUUUACACCUCCAUGGCUUUGCUGAGGACAUGGUGAAGAGUGUGAGGACUGUUGUUCUAUCUACUUCUGGAAGGGGCUGAUGGAGAAAUAACCAGGCCUGUGAGUUUAUACAACAGUGGGUCAAAGUGUAAAACUUGACCUUGAGAAUUUCAUUAAUCUCUUCAAUUAUAUUGAAGGCAGCAGAGAAGUCACUUCUCACAUGGGUCCCCAAGAAUUAAAAGAGUGAAUGCUGUCCUCUAACUCUUGGCCUUGCCACUUAUCAGCUGUGUCAACUUGGGCCAGUUACUUAACCUCUCUGAACUGCAGUUUCUUCAUUUGUAAAAUGGGAAGACUAUAGCAUUGUUGGAAUUACUGAAUCAGAUGAUAUCUGUAGAGUUAAUAGCAAAUUAAGUUCUUGGAUCCAGGUGACGGCUCAAUAGAAGCCUGUUAUCAUGCCUAUUAUUAUUUUUAUUAUAAAUGCUUAUAAUUACAAGCUACCUUUACAGUUUUCAAUUUACAACGCAGGGAACAGGUUACUUUCACAGCAGGGCUUGUCCUGUGACGAUCUUCUCCAUCACCUUAAAAGAUGUUCACAUUCAUAGGAAUUCCCUCACCUGGGCUGGGCCUGACCCUCAGAACUCCGUGGUUGUCUAUGUGAAGAUGGGCAUUAUCCAUGGGAAGAUUUCCAUGCAAAAGCGUCCUGGUUGCACAAGGGUUGGGUCCAAGUCAUCCUGCCUCUGCGAGUGUCUAUAGUCCCAGGGAAUGGGUCAUGGCUCCUACUGGAUGAUUAGGACUUUUGAAGACUUUUGAGGUGUCCAGACUCAAACCCUCCUCACCAUUGACUCCUUCCACUGGGCAAAUUCCUAGGAGUAGACUGGCAGGAUUACAUGGUGUUGGUUUAACUUUUUUUUUUUUUUUUUUUUUUUUUUUUUUAAGAGAGAGAGAGAGUGCACAAGCUGGGAAGAAGGGCAGAGGGAGGGAGAGAGAGAAUCUCAAUCCUACAUGGGGCUCAAUCCUAUGACCCUGGGAUUAUAACCUGAGCCAAAAUCAAAACUCAACUGACUGAGCCACCCAGGCACCCCUGUUUAAUGUUUAAAAAAACCUGCCAACUCUUGUCCAACAUGGUUGUACCACUUUAUAUCCCCUCCAGUUCUAACUGUAUCAUCUCUCCAGCCUCAUUUUCCAUUCUUCCCCUUACAGCAAAGUCAGUGCUUUCCAAACUUCAAGAAAAAAAUCUAUCUAUCUAUCUAUCUAUAUAUCUAUUUUAACUUUAACAUUUGUUUAUUGCAGAGAAAG